Molecule: ribosomal RNA, 83 nt
Filed under: Colius striatus (speckled mousebird)
Lineage: Eukaryota; Metazoa; Chordata; Aves; Coliiformes; Coliidae
Source: RNAcentral
UUCGGUCUCAGAAGCUAAGCAGGGUCGAGCCCGGUUAGCGCUUGGAUGGGAGACCACAUGAGGAACCCUGGGUGCUGUAGGCU